UACGGAGGAUGCGAGCGUUAUCCGGAUUUAUUGGGUUUAAAGGGUGCGUAGGCGGUCCGUUAAGUCAGCGGUAAAAUCGCGGGGCUCAACCCCGCUCCGCCGUUGAAACUGUGUCCCUUGAGUGCGCGGAAGGCAGGCGGAAUUCGUGGUGUAGCGGUGAAAUGCUUAGAUAUCACGAAGAACCCCGAUUGCGAAGGCAGCAUACCGGCGCCCAACUGACGCUGAAGCACGAAAGCGUGGGUAUCGAACAGG
RNAcentral lists this ribosomal RNA (252 nucleotides) under uncultured Bacteroidales bacterium. RNAcentral's name for it is "partial 16S ribosomal RNA". It matches the Rfam family "Bacterial small subunit ribosomal RNA", at positions 524 to 776 of the family's 1533-position model. Lineage: Bacteria; Pseudomonadati; Bacteroidota; Bacteroidia; Bacteroidales. The record is from RNAcentral.